GCUGCACAGGCCAUUGCCUUGUUGGAGGCGCUCCCAAAAAUGUUCCCUUCCCCAACCGCCCCUCCAAGAAAACUCAAGUCGGCAAGUGAGGCACUGUACCAUGUCCUUGAGCCAUCUGAGGACCCCAAUGUCUUCUUGCGUAACUGAUGACCUUGCCAAGGGACAUGCUUCUGGAAUCCCUCAUGAUACUGAUGGGAUGCUACUAUGUGUUCCAGUUAACCUAUUCCAAGUGUAUUGCUAGGCUAUUGUCCAUAAUACAAACAGAGGUACUCAAAGAUUUUAUUCACGAGAGUGACAAGACGACAACAUAUAAAAAGGUGCUUGCUGACUGUCAAGCAUUCAUCCAAACCUA
Molecule: long non-coding RNA, 352 nt
Organism: Clupea harengus (Atlantic herring)
Lineage: Eukaryota; Metazoa; Chordata; Actinopteri; Clupeiformes; Clupeidae
Exons: 2
Source: RefSeq, a predicted model, not a curated record